This is a long non-coding RNA of Mus musculus (house mouse), 2262 nucleotides long. RefSeq annotates it as predicted gene, 39614. The record is from RefSeq and is a predicted model, not a curated record. The transcript is spliced from 3 exons. NCBI's taxonomy places the organism in Eukaryota, Metazoa, Chordata, Mammalia, Rodentia, Muridae.
UCCUACAGAUCAAGAUGUAGAUCUCAGCUAUUGUUCCAGAGCCAUGUUCCCACCAUGAUGAUAAUGGACUGACCCUCUGAAGGGUACCAAUUCCAAGUUACAGUCCAUCAGCUUGUGACAGUAAAGACAGAAGUGUCCAAGAACUAGCAACAUUGUAUUGUCAUUGGUUCUGUCAGACACCACAACCAUUGACAUCAGAAUGAAAAGGAUCAUCUACCUCUGGCUCUGGCCCACAGGAUCUGUUUUUCAUGCUCUUUGGAACACCACACAAAGUGAAGAAAAGCCUCUAUAGGUUUUAUUUAAUCUUCACAUAGUAUAAAUGAUAUGGGUCACUCCUUUAUAAGAGACUUAAUUUUUCCAUGAAAUACAGUGAAAUAAGAAUUAUUUUGCCACAGCUACACUAUCUUAUAUUGUUAUUCCAACAAGAAAUAUAUGAUUGCUUAAGGAAACAGGAGCUGUGCAUUCUUCAAGCUGCAGCGCUGACUCAGUCAUGCAGAACUAACUUCCUGGCGGUCUCUGAAUACACACCAAGCUGCUCUGUAGCUGUUGCUGACAAUGAACUAGUGACUGGAAAAAGGAAUCUUAAACACAGUCACAUCUCCAGACUCUUAAAAUCCUGUUCACAAGGCCUAAUACACUGCAGAACGGGAAUAUGUUUAAAGAAAGUGUUUGAACGGUAGAAAAAGCAUUUUAUCUAAUUUUUUUUUUUUUUUGAGAAUUGCUAGGCAACUAAAACAUUCUUUUUACAUAUAUUCAUUGGAGUACCACAAUUCUAUUGAGCCUUUCUAGUGGAUAAUUAAUUGUUAAAAAUUUGCUUAUUCUAUACUAAAUAUUCAGGAGAUAGUAAAUGAGGUAAUUUAUUUUUGGGGGGACCAUUUACAGAAAAUCUUAAAUUGAGCAACUAGUUUUAUGGGAAGUGUUACUGUGUGAUACUUUGGAAGGAAGAGACCACUUUCAUGGGUUGGUUUGCUAGUUAGUAUUUAUUAAUUGAGAUGAUUCAAAUGAUUGGUUUUUGCUUAAAGUACAAAUAGUGAAACCGGUUUGAUUUUACAGAAAGACUUCAGUAGUUGGCAGGAAAUCCAUCUGAGAGUUCCAUCAUGGAGCUCAGCCCAUGGUGCGGCAGGGGCUAAUUGUGAUGGUGAUCCCCUGGCACAGAAUAAGCCCUUUAGUAACAGGCCUUGCCAAGUUCAUUUGGGAAACUACUUGUAUUUAGGAAGUAUGGUGAAUCUUAGGGUGUGGGGAGAGACUUAGUAAUGAAGAGCAGAGACUAAUUGAAAAACGUUAAAGUCGAAGAAGGCAUUAGAUAAAAUUGUUUCCAUCAUCUGCAUUUUAAUAAUUAGUAUAAAAUCUAAUUAGCGUAGAGUCGAAUUGAAUGAGGCUUUUAGCCAAAUUUUAUUGUCUGUAUCAUUGGGUAGGUAUGGUUGGUAUUUUCUAAUCAGAAUUAAUCUUAUUUUAAGAACUAUGAUAAAAUACUUUGUGUGUUAAAGAUAUGGUAAAGAAUUAAACUUGAAUUAGGUCCUUAAAAGUGCACAAUUAAGUUGAUUAAGGUAAUUUUAUUAAGUUCAGGACAAUGAUUUCUUUUUAUUUAUUGACUUGGUCAUUAGUUUUAAAUAUCAACAAUUCUUUCACUGAAUCUAAAAUCCAUAGAGCUCAUGAACUUAUUAAUGUCUCACUUUUCCUAGUUUUUACCUCAGCAGAUCCUAGAAACAGACUGUAAAAUUCGUCAAUUUUUAAAGUAUGUACAUUUUUCAAGGAUUUCAAGUCAGUAAUAUAAAGCUUACUGUUAAUAUGUUAUCUUUGCUAGUAGAAAUUAUGUUCUGGAAAUAUAAACAUCUUUAAAAAUCUGUAUGUUCCAGUUUGUGACCACUCCUGAAAAUGUGUUGUAAAGAGUUUAAAGAGAAAUUUGUUUGUUGGAUUGUAAAGUUUAAACACAUCAUUUUCCUUGUUAUCUGGUAUAUCUCCUGGUCUUCAUAUUUUCACAGGAUUCGGUUUAGAAAAUUCUUCUGUUCUCACUUCACUGAUUGCUAUUGUUAUCAUGGCAGCUUCUCAUCUUCCCAUAACAGCAUGUUAAUCUAUAUUCUUAAAUGUGUCAGUUAAGUUAUAAAGGUCUGCACGUGUUAUAUUUUAUUGGAAGGUUUUGCUUACAUUUGAUAGCUUUGAAAUAUUACUUUGUUUAUGCUUUAUAUAUUUAGCUAUUUUUUUUUCAAAUUUUCUGCCAUGUUUUCUCACCACUUUAACGAACAGUAAAGGACAACAGUUACU